This 1245-nucleotide long non-coding RNA is filed under the name Olea europaea subsp. europaea. Lineage: Eukaryota; Viridiplantae; Streptophyta; Magnoliopsida; Lamiales; Oleaceae. The record is from RNAcentral.
AGGCCAUGACAAGAUUUACUAAGAUAGUUCACAAAAUACAAGUUUGAGUUCAAGAACACACAGGGACAUACAACAAGAAUACUGUAGGUAGAACAAGGGAUUUGGGGUCAGUAACCAAUGCACUUAUUUCAAGUUUUCACAAAAUAGUAAAAACUUAACACUAAGUAUAGAAGGCAGAAUCACAAAGAACAGAGAUGUCAAUCCUGUGCCUCAACUAACUUCUCCAGCAAGACCUUCCAAUUGCACUCCUACUAGUAUUCUUGAGUCUUUGGACAAAGAUGAGCCACAAUAGGUUUUGUUAGUGCAAGGUAAAUCAAGGGAAAAUUUUGGAGACCCUAUUGUAAAGAUUAAUUAUAAAAUGCAAGAAAGAUUUCACCAAUGAGUUUGAUAAAACUCAAUUUCCACUGGCCAAUAUUUACUGUAGGUUUCAGAAAUCAUGUUUAAUCAAGAAAUCACAAAGCUCUCGUAGUCCAGGUUGCUCUAAUACCACUGAAAAUUCGAGAGAUACUAAAUAUUAACCAAGAUUUCAAAACCACAAUCAUAAACUGAAAAUAAAGUGCAGAAUAUAUAAAUGAACAUAGAGAAUUUUUUGGUCGAACCCUCAGAGGUUCGAUGACCACUUCUAACGCCUAAUCCCCUAUUGAGCAUCCAUUAAAAUGGAUAAAACUCGGUUGCACUAUAAAGCCCAAAAAUCAGGCAUCAAAUAUACAGUAAUGUUCCAGAAAAUACAACAAUUAAAGUCACCAAGACUUAUCUUUAAAAUAAGGCACAAAUCAAGCCUCACUCCACUAAGGAUUCAAAACCCGGAUCACAUAGAUCACCAAAACCGAACUACCCUCCUCGAACCACAAAAAAUGGGUGCUCUUUCACAGAAUAUUACUUUCCACCAAGGAACUAUACAAAUCAGCCUCUAUAUUAUACAUUAAUAGGCUGAAAAACAUUAAGUUUUUCGUAAUAAAAGUGGGCAACAAAGAGUCACACGGAUUUGACUCAACCAAGACCAACUUAGCGAAAUACCCAUAUAGAUCUUGAAUAUUUCAUGCUGUUUUCUGAGAUUAUUUUCAGAAAAUUAGCCCCUAAAAUCACAAAGAAGGAAGAGGUAGUCUUGCCUAAGAAGAGAGAGAAAUGAAGAGCCUUUUUUCUUUUGAGUGAGACGUUUGAGGGAGAGUUGCCUUAGAAGAUAGAGAAAUGAAGAGCCCUUUUUCUUGAGAGUGAGACGUUUGAGGGAGAGAGAGUGAGUGUGAC